This 257-nucleotide ribosomal RNA is filed under the name uncultured bacterium. Its description in RNAcentral is "partial 16S ribosomal RNA". It matches the Rfam family "Bacterial small subunit ribosomal RNA", at positions 793 to 1055 of the family's 1533-position model. The record is from RNAcentral.
GUCCACACGGUAAACGAUGAAUACUCGCUGUUUGCGAUAUACAGCAAGCGGCCAAGCGAAAGCGUUAAGUAUUCCACCUGGGGAGUACGCCGGCAACGGUGAAACUCAAAGGAAUUGACGGGGGCCCGCACAAGCGGAGGAACAUGUUGUUUAAUUCGAUGAUACGCGAGGAACCUUACCCGGGCUUAAAUUGCAGAUGAAUUACGGUGAAAGCCGUAAGCCGCAAGGCAUCUGUGAAGGUGCUGCAUGGUUUUCGU